UCGAGCCCAGAGGGAAUUCCAUUCACGACGCUGGGAGCGAGAUUCACCGGCAACCUGCGCCCGCCCACAUCCCUCUGUUUAAAAGCCCUCAGUGUGUCUCCAGCUGGAGUCCGCCCCAAAGCACCUGAGGUCUCUCUCUCACGAGUCUGUCCGUUCCUCAUCCCUCUCCUAGUCAGCCUCCGUUCCAAACCGCAACCUGGUACCGGAACCCUCCCCCGACCAGAACUCAUUACAACCACCGUGCCAGUUUUCCCACUGCAGCUUCCCGACCACGGAUGAUUUGACCAUUUUCUGAUCUCUUUGCUAUAGGAGCGUCGUUCCACUCAUGGCAGUCGGAGGAUGCAGGCCCAGACAAGAUACAGAUCCUGAAGCGGAGCCGAGGCCAGAGCCAGAGCCUAACUGUGUGGGGCGUGGCAAAUCGCUGGACAUGUUGUGGGAGCCGUCGUUUCUCUAGUCCUGGGGCUGAGACCUGUGGGGGCCAACU
Poecilia reticulata (guppy) is the source of this 484-nucleotide long non-coding RNA. RefSeq lists it as uncharacterized. The record is from RefSeq and is a predicted model, not a curated record. Lineage: Eukaryota; Metazoa; Chordata; Actinopteri; Cyprinodontiformes; Poeciliidae.